AGCAGUGAGGAUGAGAGAGAAAAGAGAGGGCUCCUGGUGACAAGUUGAUCAGAUGUGCUCUUUGCUGGUUGUUGUGCUUCUCCUGGAGGCCUGGGAGACGAUGCAUAGUAUUGUUUGAUGACUGGUGUUUGUGAUGGUAAAUAUGUGGGAUGGAGAGGAAAGUGAGUAAAGUAGGCCAGAAUAGAAAACAGUGAUGUCAGGGGUCGGGGAAAACCUCUAAAGUUGCAUUUAUAUUUUUGAUAGUGCGUUGUAGAGGUGUUGCAGCCAGGUUGCCUUGCAGCCUCUCUCACUGUGGAGCAGUCCAGGCGCUCAUAUACAAAGCCAGCACGUUUCACUGUCUGCAGCAUCCGAGCGGAGCGCAGCACCACCUCCAGCAUCACCAGCAGCCGCAGCAGCAGCGGAUCGGGGAGGGCUUUUUUGAGCACACUUGGAGCACCGACGACGCAUGUGAUCGGCGCAAACCUCCACACCGAUCAUGAUGAUGAUGAUACUCGGUGGUUGCAGGUCGCUGGAUGCCGGCGGCUCGGUGGACGGAGGAGGCUGUUGAAUAAGCGGAGGUGUGUCUGAAGAAGAAGAAGAAGAAGAAGAAGCGCUGUCCGGCGGAACCGUCGCUGCUGUCCCCUCCUGUUUUUGUUUUUUUUCCGUCUCCCACCACAGUCGAGACGAUACGCAUGAACUGACGUGAAUGCCGAGCAGCAGCAGCAGCGCUCGGCAGCAGCUCUCCGCUCCUCCGGCCAGAGUCAAUGGGAGCGCAGGUCGGCCGAGCGCUACAAACAUGGAGAGAAUUUUCCUGCUCGUCCUCAGCUGUCUCGGCGUCUCUCGAGUCACGGCGGAUAGCUUGUCACCUCCUGUCAAUGUGACCAUCAAAGAGGUGAAAGCAAACUCUGCUGUGGUGUCAUGGGACAUCCCCGAGGGAGACCCUGUCAUUGGCUUUGCCAUCACACAGCAGAAGAAAGACGUGCGCAUGCUGCGAUUCAUCCAGGAAGUCAACACCACCACACGCUCCUGUGCAUUAUGGGACUUGGAGGAAGAGACAGACUACAUCGUGCAUGUCCAGUCCAUCAGCAUGUCUGGAACGAGCCCACUGAGCGAACCGUUACGCUUCCGAACGCCAAAGGAGGCGGAGACUCAGGCCUCUAAAAGUAAAGACGAAGUGACAAUGGAGGAAGUGGGCCAGACCACUCAGCUGAGGGCAGGAGAGCUCAUCAUCAUCGUGGUGGUACUUAUCAUGUGGGCAGGUGUGAUCGCUCUCUUCUGUCGCCAGUAUGACAUAAUCAAAGACAACGAGCCCAACAACAACAAGGACAAAGCCAAAAACUCCUCAGAGUGCAGCACUCCUGAGCACCCAACGGGGGGGCUGUUGCGCAGUAAGGUAUAACCCACCCCCCUCCUCCUCUCCCUGGGUGCCUCCCCCUCAGCGGCGCCGGGCAGUUCCCCAAGAACAACAACAACAACAAUAGGAUGCCAUCUGUCAACAUCAUUGAGGUGUGACUGCCAGGACGUCUUCUCUUUAUCCAAAAGACUUUGUGUUCUCACAAACAAAAGGGCCCGUUUUAAGCCCAUCUGCUUGUCAGGAUGAGGCUGGGACUCUGGGCCCUUCGGCAGCGCCUAUUCUCCUUUGGCACGGGGCCUGGUGCUGAAGCAAAGCUGCAGGAUUCCGGAGGUCGGGCUUGGCCUGGCUGGUGCUGGUCUAAGAACAGAGUCAGCAGUGGAGAAACUGUGGAGAGAGUUGAGCAGCUGCUCCAUGCUCAAUGACUACUGUACCAUGGGGCAGCAGAGAUUAGGGCCAAAUGGCUCCGGCAGUGGAGAGACUGCAGAUAAAUCAACCCCAGGGACCAAAGCCGAUAAACAGAGCCAGAGACCUUUUCAUUCUCUCUGUUUCAGACACACUCCGUCACCUCUUUCCUUCUCUUUCAGUGCAUUAUCAGUGACCACAGACCAGGGCAUUUCCUCUCUCUGGGUGGCACUGAGAUGCACAUUGAAAUAGUCCCCUCUACUUUAAUCUCAUCAUCCAUACCUUAUUUUCUUCAUAACAAUCUGUGUUCUGUGGCUUUGUAAAUGACAGUAGGUUGGUAGGGAGUAGUUUUUUUUAACUUUCUUUUUUAACAAGCUGCCACCAGUACAGUUUUGUUGUUCUGGUGUCCGUUUUGGUUUUUUAGACCCUCCUUAGGCAGAAACUCUUUGCUGUCCUGUGGGACAAGUAUUCAUUCUGGCGAGCUUGUUUUCCCCCCUCAGGGAGUCCAGACUCCACCUGGCUAAUUUAGGAGCCAUUUCCAAGAUGUGCUGCAAUGACGCCAGAACAGCUUUAGAGAGAUCACUGGGCUUACCAUCAGAGCUGAAUCACCCAAACCUGUCAGAAAAGAUGAAAUUCAUUAUCUCACUUUGAAAGGUAUCUCUGAUCUGAAUACAUAAAUAGGGUAAAGUCCAUUAGAGGACAGGUUUGGUAACGUCUCAGUCACAUUUGCUGUCGCUUUCUUACUUCUUUCAUGCUUUUAUUAUAGAUUUCAGAAAUGUAACAUUCCACGUCCUGGAUGAGCCCUUUAGUAUUUCCUCGUGUCUUUCUCCUUGAGGGUGAUGAAUUUCAAAGUGUUCUGGAGAGGAGCAGAACUGCCACAAUGGAGUGCAUUCAUCUAAUUACUGAACUUUAAAAGGGGGCUGGACUCUGUGGAUGUCUAUGGAGCAGUGGACCUGCCUGUGCAGAGACACUGAAGAGAUCCCUUAUAUCAGCAAUAACAGCCCUCAGAGCGCGCGGAAGCAAGGACUCAAACUCUGUAGCCUCUUUGAAUAAAAGCCGACCCCUCAGCAUGUAGUGUUCAGGUAGAUGAACAGACUGCACAUCCAGUAUGAGGGAAUUAACCCCAAAAAUCCCAAGCGCUGUUGUAAAAACUUUGGUUUCUGAUGGCUUGCAUGGAAAAAAAUACUUUUUUAAUGGGCCCAACUUGCAACCCUGAGACUUCUUUAUGACAUCCUGAACAGAUGUCACCAAGACAGAAGGGCUUCUAUCAAGACUUUCACAAAUCAAAGUCAACAUUUGAGGUGAAACUUCAAGUUAAAGAGGCUAAAUAUAAUAAGGGAUCACUUGUUGCCGUAUGGCACACAGAGGACUUGUGCUUGGGGAACAAAUGAUGUAUUUGAGGGCUGAUUCAAACUCAGUAGUACUGCCUUAAAAAUUAUUCUACCUUAUGAUUUCUCUAUAAAGAAUGAAGGCCCUGUGUCUCACAUUUGUGUCAUAUUAUUUAACUUUCACCCAAUAUUUAACGUGUGCAAAGUAAAAGGAUACACUACAGAUUGAUGCCGUGUAGUCUGAGCUGAAAAUCUGGAAGAAGUGGCUGAAAUUUAAUGUGUAAAUACAUUUUAUAUUACA
This is an RNA transcript of Amphiprion ocellaris (clown anemonefish), 3364 nucleotides long. It is a transcript of the gene named fibronectin type III domain containing 5a, with no coding region annotated. Lineage: Eukaryota; Metazoa; Chordata; Actinopteri; Pomacentridae. The record is from RefSeq and is a predicted model, not a curated record. The transcript has 6 exons.